UAGGGCAACUAACUGUUCCAGUUUGUCCAGAGCUUCCCUGGUUUUAGGACUGAAAGUCUGUGUCCUGGGAAUCCCCUCAGUCUCAGGUAAACUGGGGUGGUUGGUCACCCUACCCAGAG
RNAcentral lists this microRNA precursor (119 nucleotides) under Marmota monax (woodchuck). The record is from RNAcentral. Lineage: Eukaryota; Metazoa; Chordata; Mammalia; Rodentia; Sciuridae.